CGCCUAACCGUUGUCAUGUAAUA
RNAcentral lists this microRNA (23 nucleotides) under Caenorhabditis elegans. RNAcentral describes it as "cel-miR-246-5p". Its record names the gene cel-miR-246-5p. The record is from miRBase by way of RNAcentral. Lineage: Eukaryota; Metazoa; Nematoda; Chromadorea; Rhabditida; Rhabditidae.